CGCCCCCGCCCCCGCCCAACGGUACAUUUCUCUCACAAAAUUGCAACGGAGACAAAAUGUUCCUCUUACAUCUUUCUAUUCUCCUCUCUCAUCAUUACGAUUAAGCUCACAUCCGCUUUCUGCCUAUCGCUCUCUGAAAAGUUUUGGUUAGGGUUUCUCUAUCUCUCGCUAGAAUGGACAGUGGGAGUGAAGGCUUCAUCAGAUGAACUGCUAAGGAAAUUUGCGGAAGUGGGUUCGGGAUCCAAAGAAGAAAGAGCUUUCGCAGUUGGCAAAACGACGCCGCUACCACCGGAAAAAAAUCACCGGAGAAAAUGACGAUGAUGAUGAGCAGUACUGUGAGAGCUCCUCCACCUCCUCCUUAAGCCGCCGGGCCAGUUUGGUUGAGAGGAAAUCGCUUCUUCCUGCUGUGGCGGCAUCCACCCCACCCGGAUGUCGUCUGCGCUGAUUGGGAGGUCAUGGCUCAGGUCGAGGGAUUUCAAGAACAUGUCCAUUUUCGCCACAAUUGACAAGUUUGUCGUAAGGGACAUCAAAUCAAGUUUGGGGAACCUGGAGCGGAUGCUUGCCGGAAUUGAUUGGAACUUUAAUAGCUAUGGAGGCAUCAAUGAAGGUUGUUACAAAGACUGGAGUCUUGAUAUUCAUGCGGCAAGGAAGGGACUUGUCUUACUACCGAGGAGUGCCUCUUGAAUAAAAACAGGAACCCUCAUUUGACUAAAGAGCAAGUUGAGGAUGAACUUAAAGCAUAUCUUGGAGUCAAGAAGAUUAUUUGGUUGCCUCAUGGAUUAUUUGCCUAUAUGGAAUGCAAUAAUAGACUUUGAUCCUCAAAUUUUUAUCUGGCUGGGUGACAACAUCUAUGGGGACAUUGGCGCCCUUUGAAGUUAUUUGGAAAGGAAAGGACGAUUGGGCCGUGGAAGAAUGUUCCAAGAUUCAUUCCUUCCUCUGAGCAUGAAAUGCAGGCCAGAUAUGAUAAGGCUAAGAGCAAUGAUGGAUACAGUCGUCUUCGAGAGAAUG
Camellia sinensis is the source of this 1008-nucleotide non-coding RNA. The record is from RefSeq and is a predicted model, not a curated record. NCBI's taxonomy places the organism in Eukaryota, Viridiplantae, Streptophyta, Magnoliopsida, Ericales, Theaceae.